CCUACGGGAGGCAGCAGUGGGGAAUAUUGCACAAUGGGGGAAAGCCUGAUGCAGCGACGCCGCGUGAAUGAAGAAGGACUUCGUUUCGUAAAGCUCUAUCAGCAGGGACGAAAUACUGACCUUUAGCUAAGUAGACAGUUCCGGAGUACGACGCCCCAGCUACCUACGUGCCAGCAGCAGGGGUAAUACGUAGGGGGCAAGCGUUAUGCGGAUUUCGUGGGUGCAAAGGGGGAGUCGACGGUGGGGAAAGGCAGGAGUGAAAUGCCGGGGCUUAACGGGGGAAUUGCUUUUGAAACUGGCGAGCGAGAGUACGGGAGAGGAAAGCGGAAGUCCUAGUGUAGCGGUGAAAUGCGUAGAUAUUAGGAGGAACACCGGUGGCGAAGGCGGCUUACUGGACCGAAACUGACGCUGAGGCUCGAAAGUGUGGGGAGCAAACAGGAUUAGAUACCCUAGUAGUC
This 458-nucleotide ribosomal RNA is filed under the name uncultured bacterium. RNAcentral's name for it is "partial 16S ribosomal RNA". It matches the Rfam family "Bacterial small subunit ribosomal RNA", at positions 338 to 795 of the family's 1533-position model. The record is from RNAcentral.